AAAAAUAUCGGAGCGUCGGUCUACCCAGCAAUAUCAGCCGCUCGGUUGAAGAUCUUCCCUUUCCCUU
This 67-nucleotide microRNA precursor is filed under the name Bombyx mori (domestic silkworm). Its description in RNAcentral is "mir-2774 microRNA precursor family". It matches the Rfam family "mir-2774 microRNA precursor family". Lineage: Eukaryota; Metazoa; Arthropoda; Insecta; Lepidoptera; Bombycidae. The record is from Rfam by way of RNAcentral.